CGAUAUUAGUAUGUGUCAUCUAAUUAUUUAUAUAUACCAAUUAAUGAUUCUGGAUAAAAUUGAAGUGAGAUGUCAACAUGAUUCUGAUCUAAACUAUUUUUUUUUCCAACAUUAGCCACGGAGGGCAUGAAUUUUUGUUUUUUCCUUGGAUUGAUGCCUCAAAAUAGGUGUCGGUGGAUCGAAUAGUUGCUGAAGAGUUUAAAAAUAUCAUAUCGAAAACUUAACAAAAUAAAAUAUAAUAAUAAGUGAGUGAUUCCAAGGACGGACCAUAGGCAUGGCUAACCUGGGUUAUAGUCCAAGUGGCUUUUUUUUUCC
Molecule: long non-coding RNA, 315 nt
Filed under: Prunus persica (peach)
Lineage: Eukaryota; Viridiplantae; Streptophyta; Magnoliopsida; Rosales; Rosaceae
Description: long non-coding RNA (PPER_LNC000631)
Source: RNAcentral